Molecule: ribosomal RNA, 315 nt
Filed under: Glomus sp. (unid)
Lineage: Eukaryota; Fungi; Glomeromycota; Glomeromycetes; Glomerales; Glomeraceae
Source: RNAcentral
CAGUCGUACCGGCGGAUAAUCAGCCUUUCGGGUGCGAUUCUGUGGAGCGUGAGGAGUUAAACGCCCUCAUCUUUGCAUAUUCGUGCACCUUGGGUGUAUUUGCUCGUGUGGUAGGUUAACAUCAAUUUUGAUUAUCAUAAAAUGAUUGAAGGAAUGUAGCUUCGAUCUCGUAUUGAAGUGUUAUAGCCUUUGGUAGAUGUGAUGAUCGGGAUUGAGGAUUGCAACGGAUACCCUUCGGGGCUACUCGUCUGAUCUCUGAUACGUUGCCUUGAUGUUGAAGCUUGCUUAUGAUGUUAGGGUAUUACGGUCAAAAGG